GACGAACGCUGGCGGCGUGCCUAAUACAUGCAAGUAGAACGCUGAAGAGAGGAGCUUGCUCUUCUUGGAUGAGUUGCGAACGGGUGAGUAACGCGUAGGUAACCUGCCUUGUAGCGGGGGAUAACUAUUGGAAACGAUAGCUAAUACCGCAUAACAAUGGAUGACACAUGUCAUUUAUUUGAAAGGGGCAAUUGCUCCACUACAAGAUGGACCUGCGUUGUAUUAGCUAGUAGGUGAGGUAAUGGCUCACCUAGGCGACGAUACAUAGCCGACCUGAGAGGGUGAUCGGCCACACUGGGACUGAGACACGGCCCAGACUCCUACGGGAGGCAGCAGUAGGGAAUCUUCGGCAAAGGGGGCAACCCUGACCGAGCAACGCCGCGGGAGUGAAGAAGGUUGUCGGAUCGUAAAGCUCUGUUGUAAGUCAAGAACGGGUGUGAGAGUGGAAAGUUCACACUGUGACGGUAGCUUAACAGAAAGGGACGGCUAACUACGUG
RNAcentral lists this ribosomal RNA (497 nucleotides) under uncultured bacterium. RNAcentral's name for it is "partial 16S ribosomal RNA". It matches the Rfam family "Bacterial small subunit ribosomal RNA", at positions 28 to 507 of the family's 1533-position model. The record is from RNAcentral.